Molecule: ribosomal RNA, 408 nt
Filed under: uncultured bacterium
Lineage: Bacteria
Description: bacterial SSU rRNA
Rfam family: Bacterial small subunit ribosomal RNA
Source: RNAcentral
UGGGGGAUCUUGCGCAAUGGGCGAAAGCCUGACGCAGCGACGCCGCGUGGGGGAUGAAGGCCCUCGGGUUGUAAACCCCUUUCGGCAGGGACGAAGCGAUUGUGACGGUACCUGCAGAAGAAGCUCCGGCUAACUACGUGCCAGCAGCCGCGGUAAGACGUAGGGAGCGAGCGUUGUCCGGAUUUAUUGGGCGUAAAGCGCGCGCAGGCGGCCGCGCAAGUCGGACGUGAAACCCCGAGGCUCAACCUCGGGACUGCAUCCGAUACUGUGUGGCUAGAGGUAGGUAGGGGAGAGCGGAAUUCCUGGUGUAGCGGUGAAAUGCGCAGAUAUCAGGAGGAACACCGGUGGCGAAGGCGGCUCUCUGGGCCUUACCUGACGCUCAGGCGCGAAAGCUAGGGGAGCGAACAG